GACGAACGCUGGCGGCGUGCUUAACACAUGCAAGUCGAACGGAAAGGCCCUGCUUUUGUGGGGUGCUCGAGUGGCGAACGGGUGAGUAACACGUGAGUAACCUGCCCUGGACUUUGGGAUAACUUCAGGAAACUGGGGCUAAUACCGGAUAGGAGCUCCUGCUGCAUGGUGGGGGUUGGAAAGUUUCGGCGGUUGGGGAUGGACUCGCGGCUUAUCAGCUUGUUGGUGGGGUAGUGGCUUACCAAGGCUUUGACGGGUAGCCGGCCUGAGAGGGUGACCGGCCACAUUGGGACUGAGGUACGGCCCAGACUCCUACGGGAGGCAGCAGUGGAGAAUAUUGCACAGUGGGCGGAAGCCUGAUGCAGCAACGCCGCGUGCGGGAUGACGGCCUUCGGGUUGUAAACCGCUUUCGCCUGUGACGAAGCGUGAGUGACGGUAAUGGGUAAAGAAGCACCGGCUAACUACGUG
RNAcentral lists this ribosomal RNA (468 nucleotides) under uncultured bacterium. RNAcentral describes it as "partial 16S ribosomal RNA". It matches the Rfam family "Bacterial small subunit ribosomal RNA", at positions 28 to 507 of the family's 1533-position model. The record is from RNAcentral.